Molecule: ribosomal RNA, 481 nt
Filed under: uncultured bacterium
Lineage: Bacteria
Description: bacterial SSU rRNA
Rfam family: Bacterial small subunit ribosomal RNA
Source: RNAcentral
CUACGUGCCAGCAGCCGCGGUAAUACGGAAGGUCCAGGCGUUAUCCGGAUUUAUUGGGUUUAAAGGGAGCGUAGGCGGAUUGUUAAGUCAGCGGUUAAAGGGUGUGGCUCAACCAUACAUUGCCGUUGAAACUGGCGAUCUUGAGUGCAGACAGGGAUGCCGGAAUUCGUGGUGUAGCGGUGAAAUGCUUAGAUAUCACGAAGAACUCCGAUUGCGAAGGCAGCUUGCGGGAGCACAACUGACGCUGAAGCUCGAAAGUGCGGGUAUCAAACAGGAUUAGAUACCCUGGUAGUCCGCACGGUAAACGAUGGAUGCCCGUUCUUCGUUCUUUUGAAUGAGGGACCAAGCGAAAGCAUUAAGCAUCCCACCUGGGGAGUACGCCGGCAACGGUGAAACUCAAAGGAAUUGACGGGGGCCCGCACAAGCGGAGGAACAUGUGGUUUAAUUCGAUGAUACGCGAGGAACCUUACCCGGGAUUGAA